UUUUGUCUUCCAUCAUGAGUGCCCCCAAAUUUCCUUCCCCCUCAUUUCAGGCAACCUUCCAUAGGCCUACAUCAGAUUCCUUGCAAGUCAAUUUGUCAGGAGCUUUAAGAACUAAAGUUGACAGUAAUGGCGCAAAUAUAAUGGUGGCUUUGUAUGAGAGUGGAUUGGUGACUGACUGCCCAAAGGGAGAGAACAAAGGGCGUAUGUUGUCUAACGACUACGUUGUUCGAAAGCUCGAAAAGCUCUGCACGGUCAAGGACAUCUCUGCCAAGAAGACAGUUUCAGGAACUGUUAAUUUUUCCUUGUGGGA
Molecule: unclassified non-coding RNA, 310 nt
Filed under: Hevea brasiliensis (rubber tree)
Lineage: Eukaryota; Viridiplantae; Streptophyta; Magnoliopsida; Malpighiales; Euphorbiaceae
Source: RNAcentral